CAGUCGAACGAGCGAGAGAGAGCUUACUUUCUCAAGCGAGUGGCGAACGGGUGAGUAACGCGUGAGGAAUCUGCCUCAAAGAGGGGGACAACAGUUGGAAACGACUGCUAAUACCGCAUAAGCCCACGACCCGGCAUCGGGUAGAGGGAAAAGGAGCAAUCCGCUUUGAGAUGGCCUCGCGUCCGAUCAGCUAGUUGGUGAGGUAACGGCCCACCAAGGCGACGAUCGGUAGCCGGACUGAGAGGUUGAACGGCCACAUUGGGACUGAGACACGGCCCAGACUCCUACGGGAGGCAGCAGUGGGGAAUAUUGCACAAUGGGGGAAACCCUGAUGCAGCGACGCCGCGUGGAGGAAGAAGGUCUUCGGAUUGUAAACUCCUGUUGUUGAGGAAGAUAAUGACGGUACUCAACAAGGAAGUGACGGCUAACUACGUGCCAGCAGCCGCGGUAAAACGUAGGUCACAAGCGUUGUCCGGAAUUACUGGGUGUAAAGGGAGCGCAGGCGGGAAGACAAGUUGGAAGUGAAAUCCAUGGGCUCAACCCAUGAACUGCUUUCAAAACUGUUUUUCUUGAGUAGUGCAGAGGUAGGCGGAAUUCCCGGUGUAGCGGUGGAAUGCGUAGAUAUCGGGAGGAACACCAGUGGCGAAGGCGGCCUACUGGGCACCAACUGACGCUGAGGCUCGAAAGUGUGGGUAGCAAACAGGAUUAGAUACCCUGGUAGUCCACACUGUAAACGAUGAUUACUAGGUGUUGGAGGAUUGACCCCUUCAGUGCCGCAGUUAACACAAUAAGUAAUCCACCUGGGGAGUACG
This 812-nucleotide ribosomal RNA is filed under the name uncultured bacterium. Its description in RNAcentral is "bacterial SSU rRNA". It matches the Rfam family "Bacterial small subunit ribosomal RNA", at positions 59 to 884 of the family's 1533-position model. The record is from RNAcentral.